This 74-nucleotide transfer RNA is filed under the name Kordiimonas lacus. RNAcentral describes it as "Kordiimonas sp. S3-22 tRNA". It matches the Rfam family "tRNA". Rfam says of the family: Transfer RNA (tRNA) molecules are approximately 80 nucleotides in length. Their secondary structure includes four short double-helical elements and three loops (D, anti-codon, and T loops). Further hydrogen bonds mediate the characteristic L-shaped molecular structure. tRNAs have two regions of fundamental functional importance: the anti-codon, which is responsible for specific mRNA codon recognition, and the 3' end, to which the tRNAs corresponding amino acid is attached (by aminoacyl-tRNA synthetases). tRNAs cope with the degeneracy of the genetic code in two manners: having more than one tRNA (with a specific anti-codon) for a particular amino acid; and 'wobble' base-pairing, i.e. permitting non-standard base-pairing at the 3rd anti-codon position. Lineage: Bacteria; Pseudomonadati; Pseudomonadota; Alphaproteobacteria; Kordiimonadales; Kordiimonadaceae. The record is from Rfam by way of RNAcentral.
GGUCCCGUAGCUCAACUGGAUAGAGCAGUUGACUUCUAAUCAACAGGUUCGGGGUUCGAGUCCUCGCGGGAUCG